GAGUUUGAUCUUGGCUCAGAACGAACGCUGGCGGUAUGCUUAACACAUGCAAGUCGAACGGACUUAUUGGAGCUUGCUCUAAUAAGUUAGUGGCAAACGGGUGAGUAACACGUGGGAAUCUACCCAUCAGUACGGAAUAACAUUUGGAAACAAAUGCUAAUACCGUAUAUUCUCUAAGGAGGAAAGAUUUAUCGCUGAUGGAUGAGCCCGCGUUAGAUUAGGUAGUUGGUAGGGUAAUGGCCUACCAAGCCGACGAUCUAUAGCUGGUCUGAGAGGAUGAUCAGCCACACUGGGACUGAGACACGGCCCAGACUCCUACGGGAGGCAGCAGUGGGGAAUAUUGGACAAUGGGCGAAAGCCUGAUCCAGCAAUACCGCGUGAGUGAUGAAGGCCUUAGGGUUGUAAAGCUCUUUUAGUAGGGAAGAUAAUGACGGUACCUACAGAAAAAG
Molecule: ribosomal RNA, 449 nt
Filed under: uncultured Alphaproteobacteria bacterium
Lineage: Bacteria; Pseudomonadati; Pseudomonadota; Alphaproteobacteria
Description: bacterial SSU rRNA
Rfam family: Bacterial small subunit ribosomal RNA
Source: RNAcentral